GUGGCCGCGGUUGCGGUGGGUGGGCAAGGUGUAGCCGUGGGCCCCUGUCCCGAAGGGGUCGGUCAGGGUCCAGGAGAUGGGCUGCCCGGUCUCAUCCUGCAGGCAGAUGCUGGGGAAGCGCUCCAGAACCUCUGCCAGGAGCACAGGGACCCCUGGGACUUCUACACCAACCAGUUGACAGUGUACUACCGGGAUGAGGGUGCCUGGCGGGCAUUGCUGGGGGGCACCGAGGUGGUGGGCUGGACCCGGGCCUUCCAGAUGCAAGGUAAGCCUGGCACGGGGUGGGGGCAGGAAUGUGUCCUGGGCAUCCCCUCACCCACCGUGCCCCUGCCUGGGCUGACAGCGCUGCCCCAGGGAUGCAGGAGGGGAUGUAUAAGGCUGUGCGCGAGAUGGCUGAUGCCAAGGGGCUGCGGCUGGAGACGUACCGGUACCAGGCACUGCUGAGCCCCCGGCCCCCCCAGCCCCGUGUGCAGUAAGUGUGGGGGCACCUGGGGACACGGCAGCACCGGGGGCCCCAGUCACGUGGCUGGGCGGCACAGGGGUCCCCAAGCACAUCAGUGGGUGACAUGGGGGUCCUCAAUCAUAUCCCUGGGUGACGUGUGGGUCACUGAACUCAUCCCUGGGUGACAUCAGUCCCCAGGCACAUCCCUGGCUGACAUAACGAUCCCCAAGCAUAUCCCUGGGUGGCAUGAGGGUCCCUGAGCACAUCCCUUUGUGACAUGGGGGGGUCCCUGAGCACUCCCUGAGUGGCAUAGGGAUCCCCAAGCACAUCCCUGGGUAACAUGGGGGUACCCAUCUCAUCCCUGAGUGGCACUGGGGUCUCCAAGCACAACCCUGGGUGACAUGGGGGUCCCCAGUCUCAUCCCUGGGUAGCACGCAGGGUGCAGCAGCUCCCCCGUGCCACCCCUGCUGGGAAGGAAGGUGCAGGUCCCCCAAUCCC
Molecule: RNA transcript, 940 nt
Organism: Falco peregrinus (peregrine falcon)
Lineage: Eukaryota; Metazoa; Chordata; Aves; Falconiformes; Falconidae
Gene name: glycine N-acyltransferase-like protein 3
Exons: 2
Source: RefSeq, a predicted model, not a curated record